RNAcentral lists this ribosomal RNA (426 nucleotides) under uncultured Lactobacillus sp. Its description in RNAcentral is "bacterial SSU rRNA". It matches the Rfam family "Bacterial small subunit ribosomal RNA", at positions 356 to 774 of the family's 1533-position model. The record is from RNAcentral. Lineage: Bacteria; Bacillati; Bacillota; Bacilli; Lactobacillales; Lactobacillaceae.
AGGGAAUCUUCCACAAUGGACGCAAGUCUGAUGGAGCAACGCCGCGUGAGUGAAGAAGGCUUUCGGGUCGUAAAACUCUGUUAUUGAAGAAGAACGUGUGUGACAGUAACUGGUCAUGCAGUGACGGUAUUCAAUCAGAAAGUCACGGCUAACUACGUGCCAGCAGUCGCGGUAAUACGUAGGUGGCAAGCGUUGUCCGGAUUUAUUGGGCGUAAAGCGAGUGCAGGCGGUCUUUUAAGUCUGAUGUGAAAGCCUUCGGCUUAACCGAAGAAGGGCAUCGGAAACUGGGAGACUUGAGUGCAGAAGAGGAGAGUGGAACUCCAUGUGUAGCGGUGGAAUGCGUAGAUAUCGGGAGGAACACCAGUGGCGAAGGCGGCCUACUGGGCACCAACUGACGCUGAGGCUCGAAAGUGUGGGUAGCAAACG